GUCCGAAGGCACGCGCCGCAAAAGAAGGCAACCUAGGGUUUCUAAGGAUGUCGAAAUCUCCUGCGAAGAAAACGAGAUUCCUCUAUCGUUUCUAGAUCCAGAAAAUAACGAUCCGUUUCAAAACCGUGGGAGGAGAAGCAUAAUGAGGAGGAGUUAGAUCGGCUCAGUUCUCUCCUACGCGUCAGGGUACACAUUAAAACAUUAUGCACGAGGAAUACUUGGAAGCUUGCGGUCUUGUUGCAAAUGUCGAUCAAAAUUCUAGGGCUAAAAUAUGGAGAGGUAGACCCCCAGAUUUUAUUGGUGGCACCCUUCAAUUGGAUGCAUAUUUAAAGCUCAGAGUCCGAUCCCUAUGCACCAAUUUUUCAAGAAGCAAGAAUUUGCAGAUUGUCAAGCAUUCCAAAGUCUUGGCUGUGCCCCUUUUAUGUCAUGUAAAGGAGGGAUUUAGGAAGAGGUCAAUGGGACAUGAUCACAGACCCAGUUAUUGUUGGGAAGGUUUCUGGAGUCGUUCUGUUGUGCAGAUGCUUACUUGAUGCAUCCAACUUGUCAAAGCGCAUGAGACUAAUGUUUGUGGUGUGCAUUGCAGUUAUCAGCAUGUAUCUUAGUGCUUGUGUGGCAAGGAAUACCACAUCGGAUGCUUAAAAGUACAGCAUGGAUGAUUCAAAGGUUUCAAAUUAUAAAAGUAUGUAGUGAAUAUCAUUGAAAAUUCGAAAGAUGCGAAGGCAAUCUUAUUGCUGGCUCUUCAUCAAACAACAGCAGUUCAGAGAUCAAGCAUUCCAUCCCCACUAAUCUCCAUAUGAAAAGUUAUAAUCUAGUCAAGCAUUUUGCGGCAGAUCAAUACUCAAAUAGGUGUUCUAUUCUUCAUACCAAUGAUCGGCUCCACCUGAUCAUUGGUUUUGCUCCCGGCCAAAUUCACCUGAUAUGACCAGGUUGUUGUUGGUCACUCUAACAGAAGACCUUCAAUGGUCAUUGCUGGAAUGAGCGUCAAGUAUCUUCUUGAAUCAAGCAUGAAAGAAAAUGCACUCCAACUGAAAUGAGAACUGACAUCAUUUGCCGAGAGAGAGCUACAAUUAACUUUUCCACAGAAUUCUCUUUAGGUAACUUUAGAUAAUCCUGCUGUGUAACAUGUUAGCUGCUGACUGUGCUCUUGGUUCAGCGUUAAUGUUUGUUCUUGUUGCACAAAGCAAGAACAUAAACAACGAUACUUCUCCCACGUAAUGGUGAAUUGGUAUUUUUUUUCCUGUACUUCUCUGAUGUAAUGUUGUGCAAAGCAAAAUGUAUAUAGUUUUUUCCUAAAAUUAGCAGCUCGUCAUUUAA
Molecule: long non-coding RNA, 1314 nt
Organism: Phoenix dactylifera (date palm)
Lineage: Eukaryota; Viridiplantae; Streptophyta; Magnoliopsida; Arecales; Arecaceae
Source: RefSeq, a predicted model, not a curated record